This 460-nucleotide ribosomal RNA is filed under the name uncultured bacterium. Its description in RNAcentral is "partial 16S ribosomal RNA". It matches the Rfam family "Bacterial small subunit ribosomal RNA", at positions 338 to 795 of the family's 1533-position model. The record is from RNAcentral.
CCUACGGGUGGCAGCAGUGAGGAAUAUUGGUCAAUGGGCGCAAGCCUGAACCAGCCAAGUCGCGUGAGGGAUGACGGUCCUAUGGAUUGUAAACCUCUUUUGUCGGGGAGCAAGGCCCGCCACGUGUGGCGGGAAGGAGAGUACCCGAAGAAAAAGCAUCGGCUAACUCCGUGCCAGCAGCCGCGGUAAUACGGAGGAUGCGAGCGUUAUCCGGAUUUAUUGGGUUUAUAGGGUGCGUAGGCGGAUUUUUAAGUCAGCGGUAAAAUGUCCGGGCUCAACCCGGGCCGGCCGUUGAAACUGGGGAUCUUGAGUGGGCGAGAAGUAUGCGGAAUGCGUGGUGUAGCGGUGAAAUGCAUAGAUAUCACGCAGAACUCCGAUUGCGAAGGCAGCAUACCGGCGCCCGACUGACGCUGAGGCACGAAAGCGUGGGGAUCGAACAGGAUUAGAUACCCGAGUAGUC